Acyrthosiphon pisum (pea aphid) is the source of this 864-nucleotide long non-coding RNA. RefSeq lists it as uncharacterized. The record is from RefSeq and is a predicted model, not a curated record. NCBI's taxonomy places the organism in Eukaryota, Metazoa, Arthropoda, Insecta, Hemiptera, Aphididae. The transcript is spliced from 3 exons.
UUGAAAGAAUCGAGUACGUAGUUAUAGUACAAAGUACAAAAAAUAAAGUGUAUACCUAGACUGAAAAAAAAUGUAUCGUUCAUUAUUAUUGCAUUUUUCUGAUCUUAAUUUUAUGAAUAAAUAUCAAUAAUAAUCUAGAAUAUAGAGUUAUCAAAAUUUAUAAAAUAUGUACCUAUGUCUAGAUUUUUGUCUAGUCUAGUUUCAGUCUAAACCCCUUAAAUACGUGCCGGUAUGGAGCGAAACGUCGUUGGGCCAUGGUCACUGUCGGCGAGUGGUCAGUCCAAUAUUACAUUUAUCCAAUCAGAACGUAAGAACAGUGAUGUUGGAAUAAUUAAUAGAGGAUAUACAUACACUUGCCCGGAGACGCGUAAAAAUUAAUGUAAAUUGCGCAUUAAUAUUAAUGCCUAAAACUCGUAUGGGCCUGUCACGGGUUGCCAGAAAAAAAAAAAACCGAUUCGACGCCAUUCGACUCAUACGCCCGACUUUUUUCACGGGACGCAACACUAACGACAUUCCAUGAAGGCGAUCCAGUUUUACACAUUUUUUAAUGGCAUAUUUAUUAGGAAGCAAAAUGCCAAGCGGGUGGCACCCUCUAGAUCUACGACUGGCUAUAAUGUAGUUCCACUAUUUUCUCGAUGUCGAAAUUAAAGUCGAAUAACGGCAUCCGGCUUAAUAUGGACGACAUAACGUGACAACGGAAUAUACACAGAAAACGGUGACCAUGAGUCAUGGUAUUGUGCACGAGUAGUCGACCUCAGCUGUAAGUCUAUAAAAUAUCACGAUUAUAACAUAAUAUAAUAUCAUAACAUUGAAUGUGUAAUAUUUUUAAAAAAUAGUUAUUUUUCCGACGACGAUAUUUUUCGG